UGUCCCCUGCGGUGUUCGUCAGGCUGUAAUUCUUUGAGCCAAUGUUAACUAUGUUGGUUGCUGCCUAAAGUAGCGCUGUUGUGCGCGUCCUAAGCGGGAAGCGCCUGAUGUGCUCGGAAAGCGACCGCCUUGAACCCUAGGUUCAAGAUGCCGGCUUGACGGAAAUCGCGGGGGGCAC
This 178-nucleotide non-coding RNA is filed under the name Burkholderiales bacterium. Its description in RNAcentral is "6S RNA". It matches the Rfam family "6S / SsrS RNA". Rfam says of the family: E. coli 6S RNA was the first non coding RNA to be sequenced, but its function was unknown until recently. It consists of 184 nucleotides that fold into an extended hairpin structure with a large single-stranded internal bulge. The 6S RNA specifically associates with RNA polymerase holoenzyme containing the sigma70 specificity factor. Lineage: Bacteria; Pseudomonadati; Pseudomonadota; Betaproteobacteria; Burkholderiales. The record is from RNAcentral.